CCCUUAGACGUUCUGGGCCGCACGCGCGCUACACUGGCCGGUGCAACAAGCAUCCGUCCUUGGCCGACAGGCCCGGGCAAUCUUUGAACGCCGGUCGUGAUGGGGAUAGACUUUUGCAAUUUUUGGUCUUCAACGAGGAAUUCCUAGUAAACGCAAGUCAUCAACUUGCAUUGAUUACGUCCCUGCCCUCUGUACACACCGCCCGUCGCACCUACCGAUUGAAUGGUCCGGUGAAGCCUCCGGAUUGGCGCGCACCUCGGUGCCGCCGAGAAGUUGGCUAAACCUUACCAUUUAGAGGAAGGUGAAGUCGUAACA
Molecule: ribosomal RNA, 315 nt
Filed under: uncultured eukaryote
Lineage: Eukaryota
Description: partial 18S ribosomal RNA
Rfam family: Eukaryotic small subunit ribosomal RNA
Source: RNAcentral